Molecule: ribosomal RNA, 523 nt
Filed under: Mantidactylus femoralis
Lineage: Eukaryota; Metazoa; Chordata; Amphibia; Anura; Mantellidae
Description: partial 16S ribosomal RNA
Rfam family: Bacterial large subunit ribosomal RNA
Source: RNAcentral
UAGCCUGCCCAGUGAAAUUUUAACGGCCACGGUACCCUAACCGUGCGAAGGUAGCAUAAUCACUUGUUCUUUAAAUGGGGACUUGUAUCAACGGCAUCACGAGGGUUCUACUGUCUCCUUUAUCUAAUCAGUGAAACUAAUCUCCCCGUGAAGAAGCGAGGAUAACACUAUAAGACGAGAAGACCCCAUGGAGCUUUAAACCCAAAUAUAUCCCCAAUCCCUACAACCAUUUAAUCCUUUGGGUCCUAUAUACUUGGUUUUAGGUUGGGGCGACCACGGAGUAAAACUAAACCUCCAUGAUGUACGGAACAACCUCCUUAUCUAAGAGCCACAGCUCUAAGAAUUAGCACACUAUCAUAAAUGACCCAUUAUUGAUCAACGAACCAAGUUACCCUGGGGAUAACAGCGCAAUCCAUUUUAAGAGCCCCUAUCGACAAAUGGGUUUACGACCUCGAUGUUGGAUCAGGAUAUCCCAGUGGUGCAGCAACUACUAAAGGUUCGUUUGUUCAACGAUUAAAAUCCU